Molecule: long non-coding RNA, 1508 nt
Organism: Suricata suricatta (meerkat)
Lineage: Eukaryota; Metazoa; Chordata; Mammalia; Carnivora; Herpestidae
Exons: 3
Source: RefSeq, a predicted model, not a curated record
CUCCACACGCCACAACAGUCAUCGGUCCUCUGUGAAGUCACAAAGCCUUGCUUGGACGGGUUCCUGCUCAUGGCGUCAUAAAUGCUGGCGGGACCUUGAAGAGCUAAGGAGGGCAAGUGCCUUCUUGGCACCAGCGUCAGAGACCAAAAGGACAACUGAUCUUAGACUCCAGAGAGAAGAGAGCUCUAGUCCACUUUUUGUGGCCACAGGACAUUCUUACACAGUGGAUGUGAAAGGAACAAUUAAACCUCAAACCAAGUCACUCUGAGGAGAGGAGGUACAUGUCAUUCUGUCAGCAUCUGAAAAAUGGGAUUCAGAAAUGUGUUUUGCAAAAUUGUGCUUUCCAAGGAAAGGAAAGAAAAACACACACAGGGCAGUGUGUUGCAAGGUUCUUGUCAAAGGAAGAAGAUCCAAGGAUGAAUGUUGCAAGACUGUGCUGCUAAAGGAAGUGGCUUCUUAGCUCAUUUGAUCUGGAACAAAGCUUAGAGAUGACCUUGGCCACUCCUCUGGCUGGACAGAAGGAGAAACUAAGACCUGGGGAGGGGAAGGCAUGUGCCCAAGGCCAAGCAGGGAGUUCCUGAUGAGCUGGCAGGUGUUACUAGGCUUCUUGACCCCCUGCUGCCUGCCACCUUUCCUCUAGUCCUAAAGCAUGGAUCAUGAUGAUCACUUCUGAUUUUGCUCCACGUCCCCAGCCCACCCUCCACACUCACAUUCCCUUGGACAGCACCCCAGGGUCACAAGAUGGGACUACAUCUGUGAACCUGGAUCUGCACCUGCCAGAUGCAAGGGGCCUAAGCCAGCAAGAGGCUGGGGUGAGCUGGAGAGGAAGGAGCAGAGUCUGAUGAUGUGGCCUGACCUCAGAAAGGAAGCCUGGUCACCAGGGGGAAUUUCCCCGGGGGUGAGGUCUCAUGUCUAUGCAAAUAGUGCACUCCAAUUAACCUGGACCCCAGAACAGGAGAGGGCAAAGGGAGACGGCGGGAGGAGACAGGGAAAUGGGGAAGGCAGGUGGUAGAGCUUGACAACAGAGCACCAUACCAGGCUCCUCCUAUGCUCCAUCUCAUUUUGUCCCUGAAACAGCCACCCAAGUAGGAAAGCGGAGGCCUCAGGCCCAGUGAGGGGAUGGCAGGUUUGCCCAAGAGAACGCAGUGCAACCCCAAGGGGACACCAGACCUUGGACACCAGCUGGGGACACCAGCAAUGCUGACGGGGGAGUUGGAGCUGCUGCUGUUGUUGCUGACCAGUCUCAACCUGGCUUCCGUGAUCAAGAGGAGGAGGACAUGUGCUGAGCAGAGCAGGAAUUGGGAGACCCAGAUGCUAACCCCAGACCUAGCCUUUAGUGAUACUAUGGUCACUGCACCUGGAUUGUCGAACUCAUGAAAGAAGAGCAUUGGUUUGGAGGGAUUCUAAGACCAUCUCCAGCUCGAUUCAUGAGGUAUUGCCUGUACCUUCAGGCAGUUUGAACACUUGGACCCUCGGUUUCCUUAUUAGUGGAAUAAGGGUGAUGGCCA